This 253-nucleotide ribosomal RNA is filed under the name uncultured bacterium. Its description in RNAcentral is "partial 16S ribosomal RNA". It matches the Rfam family "Bacterial small subunit ribosomal RNA", at positions 524 to 776 of the family's 1533-position model. The record is from RNAcentral.
UACGGAGGGGGCGAGCGUUAUUCGGAAUUAUUGGGCGUAAAGGGCGCGUAGGCGGCUUGACAAGUCAAAGGUGAAAUCCCUCGGCUCAACUGAGGAACUGCCUUUGAAACUGUCUGGCUUGAGGCCGGGAGGGGGUAGCGGAAUUCCCAGUGUAGCGGUGAAAUGCGUAGAUAUUGGGAGGAACACCAGUGGCGAAGGCGGCUACCUGGACCGACACUGACGCUGAGGAGCGAAAGCCAGGGGAGCAAACGGG